Molecule: ribosomal RNA, 730 nt
Filed under: uncultured bacterium
Lineage: Bacteria
Description: bacterial SSU rRNA
Rfam family: Bacterial small subunit ribosomal RNA
Source: RNAcentral
AACAGGAUUAGAUACCCUGGUAGUCCACGCCGUAAACGAUGUCGACUUGGAGGUUGUGCCCUUGAGGCGUGGCUUCCGGAGCUAACGCGUUAAGUCGACCGCCUGGGGAGUACGGCCGCAAGGUUAAAACUCAAAUGAAUUGACGGGGGCCCGCACAAGCGGUGGAGCAUGUGGUUUAAUUCGAUGCAACGCGAAGAACCUUACCUACUCUUGACAUCCAGAGAACUUUCCAGAGAUGGAUUGGUGCCUUCGGGAACUCUGAGACAGGUGCUGCAUGGCUGUCGUCAGCUCGUGUUGUGAAAUGUUGGGUUAAGUCCCGCAACGAGCGCAACCCUUAUCCUUUGUUGCCAGCGGUCCGGCCGGGAACUCAAAGGAGACUGCCAGUGAUAAACUGGAGGGAGGCGGGGAUGACGUCAAGUCAUCAUGGCCCUUACGAGUAGGGCUACACACGUGCUACAAUGGCGCAUACAAAGAGAAGCGACCUCGCGAGAGCAAGCGGACCUCAUAAAGUGCGUCGUAGUCCGGAUUGGAGUCUGCAACUCGACUCCAUGAAGUCGGAAUCGCUAGUAAUCGUAGAUCAGAAUGCUACGGUGAAUACGUUCCCGGGCCUUGUACACACCGCCCGUCACACCAUGGGAGUGGGUUGCAAAAGAAGUAGGUAGCUUAACCUUCGGGAGGGCGCUUACCACUUUGUGAUUCAUGACUGGGGUGAAGUCGUAACAAGGUAACC